AAAGCGGGUUUGUUGAUGUACUGAAUCGGACACAUUACUUUCUAGCUGAACACUCAGCUUCAUCCACUCCAGGACAGCUGAGCGUCUGGGGCUUCAGAAGCUGAUGGCAUAGUUAUGAGAGGGGUGAAGACUGCGACUGCAUUUCCAACAGACCCUGAGGACAAUUGGGAAGAAUGCGCUGAAUAUUUUUGAGCAAUUUCUAUAUGAUAAGCAGUUUUUAGGGCAAGUAUAGGUUGCACUGAUCCUGACCUUUUGGCCUGAGGAUGGAAGUCUUCAGUAUCUGUACAACUUUACUCCCAAGAGCUGGUGUAGAAUGAGUUCCUCUGGCCAUGGGAGGAUCGCAGAGGGGCACCUGCCACCAGCAGCCCAGCCUCAGCACUUUUCUCUUCAGCGUCUUCUUCAAGGUAUUUCCAGUUGCCCGCCCUGAACUGUUUCAGAAUGAGGAGGACACCUGGAGGAAUCUACACGUGCAUAGACCAAUUUGCAAAAGAACCUGUGAGCCAACAUUAUUACCUCAGCUGGAAGAAUUAAUAAGCAACACGUUCACCCAAGAAGUAUUUACUGAGCACCUACUAUGUGCAUUAUUUUCUGGUGUUGGGGCUAGGGGGCAAACGACUCUGACAAGUCUCUGUUCUCAAGGCUGGAGUGCAGCGGCGCGAUCUCGGCUCACUGCAAGCUCCGCCUCCCGGGUUCACGCCAUUCUCCUGCCUCAGCCUCCCGAGUAGCUGGGACUACAGGCGCCCGCAACCACGCCCGGCUAAUUUUUUGUAUUUUUAGUAGAGAUGGGGUUUCACCAUGUUAGUCAGGAUGGUCUCGAUUUCCUGACCUUGUGAUCCGCCCGCCCCCGCCUCCCAAAGUGCUGGGAUUACAGGCGUGAGCCACCGCGCCCGGCCGUAGUUUACAUUUUCUAAAGCGUACUCUGCCAGCCAAGUGGCAAACAGACUUGGGCCUCUUAAGAGUGGAAGCAGGAGGAAACCCGAAGAUCCUGGAGAGAGACUGGUGGCUGGUACCAGUGGAGAGGGAGCAAAAAGGAAAAUACAGGAUACAAUUUCAGGAAAAAUUUCAUACCAAUUUCCUGAGGUAAUUUCUGAACUCGAACAUUUUCAGUGUCACCACAUUGUGUUUCCUGCUGAAUCAAGUCUACAUCACUUCGGUUUUUAAAGCCUUCCACGAUCCUUCCCUGAACACUGUAGUUUUCACUGAUGGUUGGCUGUUUCAAACUCCCAUAUGAUCCAUACUGUAUCAUUAAUAAGCAAGCAAGGAAUAACACACCCUCUGCUAUUCUGUGCAGUGUUUCAGGUUUUUAGUUUUCUCUUUCAAGAUAGAAAAUCCCUUUAGAGUAGGAACUCGGCUGGCACUUUCUUUCACAUCCUGCAUAGCACUUAGCAAAGUUCUGUACACAGGGCACAUGUGGAAAUUGCUUAUUGAUUGAUUAAAAGCAUAUAUCACUGGCAUUUGUAUCUUCAGUAUUUCUCUUGUAUGAAGAAGGGUGAUUAUCUGUCAAUAUUCAUUGCAUCAUUGAACCAAUGUACAAUGCAUUAAUCAUCACUGAAGAUAACCAGAUGAGGCUUUAUUGUAAUCUCCUUCUAUUUUGCUGAGAUAAUUUCACUUGCUUUAGAGUUUAUGAGGCCAUAAGUGGCUCCCAUCUGUUGAUGAACAUAUUUCUAAGAGUCAUUUAGUCUCAAGUAUGGAAUACUUGAGGGGAAGUUAAAUUGUAACUUUUAUAUUAAGUGUCAUCUUAGUAACAGAACCAAAAUUGGAAGCAUGUGUUCAAUUUUGGUUUUUCAUUUUCAAAGCUUUAGGUCAGGCAAAGAAUUAAUUUCAUUUGUUUACAAAGUAGAUUAUGCCUAAUAAAAUCUAUUUUGUUUAUGGUCACAUUUUAAUCAAUCCACUGCUUUAGAAAAUGAGAGAAUUCUGAUUGGCUAAUCAUUCAACAUAGUAAAUUACAUUAUUCCACAUCCACAGAACACUGGCCUAAUUGCAUUAUCCAGUAAUGAUAAAAAUAUUCCUUUUAAUACAUUUUGAGCAAGGCAUAUACCAGUGAUGAAACAGGGAAGAAUCUUGUUUAUUCCAUCCUUGUUUGAUGAUCGACCACAGAAUAUAACAUAACACUUCUGUGUAUAAGAAUUUUUUCAACAUUAAGGAUAAUAAGGACAAGGUAGUUUUCACUGGAUCCUUACUGGUACUCUGAAUUUUCACUAUUUGUCCGCAUUUCUUCUCCUUCCCGGAAAUUUGUUUUCUGCGAAAAACAAGUGCUACUUUGU
This is a long non-coding RNA of Homo sapiens (human), 2264 nucleotides long. Ensembl annotates it as AQP4 antisense RNA 1. Its record names the gene AQP4-AS1. The record is from Ensembl. NCBI's taxonomy places the organism in Eukaryota, Metazoa, Chordata, Mammalia, Primates, Hominidae.